This 484-nucleotide ribosomal RNA is filed under the name uncultured bacterium. Its description in RNAcentral is "partial 16S ribosomal RNA". It matches the Rfam family "Bacterial small subunit ribosomal RNA", at positions 28 to 507 of the family's 1533-position model. The record is from RNAcentral.
AUUGAACGCUGGCGGCAUGCUUUACACAUGCAAGUCGAACGGCAGCGCGGGCUUCGGCCUGGCGGCGAGUGGCGAACGGGUGAGUAAUUCAUCGGAACGUGCCCAGUAGUGGGGGAUAGCCCGGCGAAAGCCGGAUUAAUACCGCAUACGACCUGAGGUUGAAAGCGGGGGACCGAAAGGCCUCGCGCUAUUGGAGCGGCCGAUGUCGGAUUAGCUAGUUGGUUGGGUAACGGCUUACCAAGGCGACGAUCCGUAGCUGGUCUGAGAGGACGACCAGCCACACUGGGACUGAGACACGGCCCAGACUCCUACGGGAGGCAGCAGUGGGGAAUUUUGGACAAUGGGGGCAAGCCUGAUCCAGCCAUGCCGCGUGCGGGAAGAAGGCCUUCGGGUUGUAAACCGCUUUUGUUCGGGAAGAAAUCCUCUGGGCUAAUACCCCGGGGGGAUGACGGUACCGGAAGAAUAAGCACCGGCUAACUACGUG